RNAcentral lists this long non-coding RNA (4925 nucleotides) under Ananas comosus (pineapple). RNAcentral describes it as "long non-coding RNA (ACOM_LNC007583)". Lineage: Eukaryota; Viridiplantae; Streptophyta; Magnoliopsida; Poales; Bromeliaceae. The record is from RNAcentral.
UUAAUUUGAAGUUCAAAUUUAAAUUUUGAUUUUAAAUUCAAACUUCAUAUUCAAAGUCUGAUUUUGGUUUCAAAUUUAAAUAUAAAUUUAGUUUUUGAAUUCAAAUUUUGAUUUCAAAUUCAAAUUUAAAUUUUGAAUAGUCAAAAUUUUAAAGUAAAUUUCAUUCAAGUUUUAAAUUUAGAUUUAGAAUUUAAACUCAGACUUCAGUUUGAGUUCAGAUUUUAAUCCAACUCUUAGUUUCAAAUUUAGAUUUGGAGUUCAAAUUUUUAAUGUGAAUCAGAAUUUUAAUUCAAAUUUAGAAUUUGAACUCAUAUUUCAAGUUAAAUUAAAAUAAAAUUUACAUUCAAAUUCAAAUUCAUAUUUGAAUACAAAAUUCAAAUUUAAAUUUAAAUUUCAAAUUCAAACUUAAGUAAUUCAACUAAUGUGAAAUUUUGAACUUUAUUUCAAAUUUAAAUUUGAGGCAAGUAGCGGUGGAGAAGGAUAACUUUUAAAUUUUGCAUAAGUUGCAGCAUAACAUGUAAUCAGUAAUGCAAGAUACCCAUCUUUUUAUUGUUUUACUAGUAAUAUUUUACGGUACCUUACAAACUAAUAUACAUGACAUUGUUUAAUUGGUGGAAAUGUGCGAACCAUGAAAUGGUUUUUUGAAAGUAUGGUAGAUAAUUUUAAUAUUGAAAUCCAUCAAUUGAGUUGUAUGGUUUGUAAAAUAUUAUAAAUUUGCUUGUAAACAAAGUAUUUUUCAAUUUUUAAAGAUCCCUGUAGGAUUCUCUGUAAUAUAAUAUAAACUUGGCCUUCUUUUGCACCAUGUGUUGUUUUCUUCUUCUUUUUUUUUGAUAAAAAUUUUCUGCGAUAGUGUACGCUCAGAGAUCCAACAGAUUGCUUGUAAUCUAUACAUUACUUCGGAUUUAUUUGUUGAGAAACUAUGAAAACUUAGUAACAACUUUUUUUUCUUUUAAACUAAAUUUUGAAUUGGUAUUUACCAAGAAUAAGAUUUUGUUUUGUUUUUUUUUUUAUUUUUUUAUUUGUUUGUUUGGUUGUUUACUUGUUUUUGGUUGUUGUUGUUGGUGUUUGUGCUGGAACUUGGAGUGGGUCUCCCAAGAUGAAGCAAAAAAGUUUUUAUUUUUGUUUAUUUAUUUAUUUUAUGGUUUCUGAGGACUAUGAAAAAGCCUAUGGCUAUAUGCUAUGGCUAUAUGAAUGCAUUACACUUGGCUUUUGUGAAUGGCCUUAUCUAUGUAAAAGCUCACACAUUGUCCAAGGUGAUCAUCCCAUGUAUAUGCAUUUGAUUGCUUUAAUUUCCCUUUCAUUUUUGCUUUUUGUAAAAGAGUGCUGCUAUAAGAUUACCCUACAAUAUUAUUAAUAAUAUGAUAAUAUAUUAUUAUAUUUAUAAUAAUAAUAUUGUAAAUAAUUCAUCAUUCAUAUAAAUUGAAAAAAAAAAAAAACAACAACAAGAUUAAACGAAGCCUAAGAUUUUAUAUAUUAUAUAUAUCUCAAAAUUGAUAACUUGAAUAGCUGACGUGGUGAUAUAUUUGUAAGUUUACCAAUUUAAAAGAAUGAAUUUAUAUUCAAUAAAAUUUUUAUAGAAAAUUUCGUUCACUAUUUAAUGAAAGAUCAAUAUCUUUGAUCUGAAAUUUAAAUCUUUUAUUAUUAUUUUUUAAAAUUUUUAUUUUUAGCCUUUUAUGUUGAAACUAUUCGGUUUAAGGGUAAAUAAUAUAAACAAAUUAUAAAAAUUGGUUUCAAUAUAGUUUUAGUAGUGUAGCUCAUAUUUAAUUGAGUCAAUCAUCGAUUCGAAUAUCUCAUCAUCGAAAACAACAUAAUAGCAAUGAGGCCUCCGUACUACUGAUAGUAUUCUAGCCUAAUUCAAAUAUAUACAAAGAGAGAGAGAAAGAGAGAGUUGUAGAGAAUGCUUAUAAUAAUACCAACUUAUUAAUGCUUUUUAGUUUUUGGCCCUUGGAUUAAGGGGUCGUUGGAUUACCAUGAUAGUGGUCCAGUUAAGUUUAGAAGUAGUGAAAUAAUAUAAUUUAAGAAAUAUAAAUGACAAAAGAGUAUGUACACAGUAGUUACGGAUUUUUGAUAUCACAACAGCUUCAUGUGUGAGUUGCUACUUUCCAUGAAAUUUGAUUUCUAGAUAUUUUCAAUAUUCUGGAUCAAGCUUAAUGAUGUCGAUCAUCGAUUCGAAAACUUCAUCAUCGAAAAUAAAUUUGUAACAACAGAGCGCAUUUACGACUAAUAGUAUUCAAGCUCAACUCUCUUCUCUCCUUCUCUCUCUCUAUAUAUAUAUAGAAAGAGAGAGAGUAGGGCUACUAUACUCUUAUGAGUAUAGAGCUCUUCGUGUUCAUAAGUUGUUUUCGAUAAUUGAACUUCCGAAUCGACGAUCCACUUCGUUAAAUGUGUUCUAAAGUAUUUGAAACUUUCAGAAAAUAAAUUUCGUAAUUUUUUUUGAAAUCAUAAUAAAAUCCAUUAAGUGGGCAUAAAAUGAACAGUCAAAAUCGAAUAACAUCCUAAAAAUCGAUAAUUGGAUCCUUCAAUUUAAGAUCAGAGUUAUUGAUCUUUAUUUAGAUAGUGAAUAGAAUUUUCGAUAAAAAAUUUAACUAAUUCUGAGUCUUUUACACCGUUAAACUAGCAAGUAUUCCAUACCAACUGUUAAAAAUUAUCAAUUUUGAGAUUUUUUAAUCAAAAGGUAAAUGAUGUCAAAAAUUAUAAAAUUUAAUUUUUUAAAAGUUUUAAAUGCUCUAAAUAACGUUUAACGGUAUGGAUCGUCAAUUUGGAAGUUUUAUUAUUAAAAACAACUUAUGAGUAAGAAGGCGAUCGUACUCAUAAGAGUAUAGUAGCCGGACUCUCUCUCUCUCUCUUUCACUUUCUCUCUUUAUAUAUAUAUAUAUAUAUAUAUANAGGUACUAAAAUAAAAAAGUGUGAAACCACGGGGUUUUUUUGAAGUUUUCCCUAAUAAUAAUAAUGAUUCAGGGGUAAAAAUGUAAUUACACUUCAGUUAGCCGGAAUCGUAUUCCUACGUUCUCCACGCAGAGGUUAACAAGGAAACCUCCCCAACAGGUCACGUAUCAAAGCACAACUUAGCCUCUUAAAAAGGAAGAAACUAUUCACUGCACCGGGUGUAUAAGCACAUCUCAUACGCCACACCUAAUAAAUUUUAUGAGGAAAAUGUGUUUUAUGUAUAAAAAAAUUUAUAAAUUUUAGACACGAAUACUUCCUAAAUUGGAUAAUGUCCCAUUAUAAACUUAGCUUUAUAAAUAUUAUAUGGUAAAUUAUAUAACAUCUAUCAAAUUAAAUUUUAAUUUAAGGUGUAAAUUAUUAAAAUCUAUGUAUUAUGACGCGGUUACAUGUCGCGCAUGUCCGUGUCGGACACAUCUUUGUUCGUGCUAGACUCGUAUUUGACGCAAACCCACCAUGGAUGUGCGUUCAUGGCGCAUUCCUAUGAAAUUUUUUUAUUUCACUUUUUUUAUGCAUAUAUAUAUAUAUAUAUAUAUAUAUAUAUAUAUAUAUAUAUUAGGGCUAUUAUACUCUUAUGAGUAUACACCUUUUUGUACUUAUAAGUUUUUGACAAUUGGAUGAAGAGAUGUGCAGUUAGGAUGAUAGAGGUCCCCGAUUAGAAUGAUAGUGGUCCCCUAGAGUUAAGUGGGUGGUAAGUUGAAUAGUAUGAUCUAAUGGGUGAAAAUGGUCAAAGGGAUAGAUUUAACAGUCGAAAAUUUAUGAGUGCAUAGAGAUCUAUGCUUAUAAGAAUAUAUAGUCAAACUCUCUCUCCCUCUCUCUCUCUAUAUAUAUAUAUAUACAUAUAUUAGGAGUAGGACUAUUGUGCUAUUAGGAGUAUAGUAGUCCUUACGCUCCUACCUUUCUAACCAUCUAUCAAUUUCGAUGGAUGGUUAGGAUGAGAGAGAGAAAAAAAAUUCGGGUGCAGUUGAGUGUCUUAUUUUUUCUCAUCUUUGAAUUUGUAUCCAUUUUUUCUUCUCUCUCUCAUCUUAACCACCAAUCAAAAUUGAUGUAUGAUUAGAAAGUUAAGAGCACAAGAAUUACCCGUGAUCCUAAUAGCACAAUAGCCCUACUCUAUAUAUUAGUUAUGGCAUUGCAUUUAGCUUCAAGCAUGAGUAGCUGCACCACAUUCUCUCUCUCUCUCUCUCUCUCCCUCUCUAUUUUUGUUCAAAUUCCAUGUUCCCUCUUUUUGUUUGUAGCUAAACACAUCCAACUACGCAAAAUUCUUCAGUAGAUCCAAAUGAAGAGUACCUGCCAAAUUAUUUGAUAUAUACUAAAGCAGGACAUAUGGAUUAUCUAAAAAGAUCACUUUUUCCUUUUAUUUUUCUUUCUCUUUGUACAGGAGAUUCUACACUGAAUCUCUGGGAUCAUUCCACAUGGGGAACAACUAUUCAUAUUUAGUGGGUAACCCAACAAUGCCAUUUUGAAUCAUAAAUUAAAAGGGAGAGAGAAAAAAAUUCCAAAAAAAAGAAAAAUCCAACAGUACCAUCCAAUUUCAGAGUUCAACAGCUUUGCUGUGCUGUGGCCUCUGGGGUGAUACAGAACCUUCAUUUAAAAAAAGUGAAGCUACCUGGUGCUCAUUACAUGGUUCCAACUACUUAGAUUUAUCACAUAUAAUUUUUUAUUUAUUUUUUUUUAGAAAAAAAAUAGCGUGUUAUUUACUUUAUCCAAUAAGGUAUUGUUUGGUUUGAGCAUAAGCAAAAAAUGAUUAUUCCAGAGAUAGAUAUAAAUUGAGGUAUAAGCGGGGAUUAGAUCAAUUUUACGUUUGGAUGAAAAUUGGGCUAUUCCUGAGAAUAAAAAAAAUAGCGUUUGGUUAGUUAAGAUGGAAUAAGAAAGAUAGUGGGUUUUAUAAAUAAAAAAUAAUCAUAUUAUCCUCUUAUUAUAUUUGAAUUUAAAUUUUUAAAUUUUUAAAUAUAUAUUUUUAAAUUUAAAAUUUUAACUUUGAA